RNAcentral lists this unclassified non-coding RNA (332 nucleotides) under soil metagenome. Its description in RNAcentral is "partial contains 5.8S ribosomal RNA, internal transcribed spacer 2, and large subunit ribosomal RNA". The stretch from base 1 to 120 matches the Rfam family "5.8S ribosomal RNA", at positions 35 to 154 of the family's 154-position model. The record is from RNAcentral.
GAUGAAGAACGCAGCAAAAUGCGAUAAGUAAUGUGAAUUGCAGAAUUCAGUGAAUCAUCGAAUCUUUGAACGCACAUUGCGCCCGCCAGUAUUCUGGCGGGCAUGCCUGUUCGAGCGUCAUUUCAACCCUCAAGCACAGCUUGGUGUUGGGACUCGCGUUAAUUCGCGUUCCUCAAAUUGAUUGGCGGUCACGUCGAGCUUCGAUAGCGUAGUAGUAAAACCCUCGUUACUGGUAAUCGUCGCGGCCACGCCGUUAAACCCCAACUUCUGAAUGUUGACCUCGGAUCAGGUAGGAAUACCCGCUGAACUUAAGCAUAUCAAUAAGCGGAGGA